This 228-nucleotide long non-coding RNA is filed under the name Arachis ipaensis. RNAcentral describes it as "long non-coding RNA (AIPA_LNC000344)". The record is from RNAcentral. Lineage: Eukaryota; Viridiplantae; Streptophyta; Magnoliopsida; Fabales; Fabaceae.
ACAAAGAGAAAAAGAAGAGAGAGAAACAAAUAGCAGAAUAAAAUAGAUUAGUAUUGUUGUUGUUUAGUUCAUAUUAUUAUUAUUUGGGUUGGAAGGAAUGAAUGUAAGAAGGGGGCAGGUAGUGCUGCAACGGUGUUUAUGUUAUUGAGAAGCUCAACAUCAAGAAGCUCUGCAAGGGAGGAGAACAGAGGAGGAGACAGCGAGCCAGGAGGAAUAAGAGGGGAAGGC